This 496-nucleotide ribosomal RNA is filed under the name uncultured bacterium. RNAcentral's name for it is "partial 16S ribosomal RNA". It matches the Rfam family "Bacterial small subunit ribosomal RNA", at positions 28 to 506 of the family's 1533-position model. The record is from RNAcentral.
GACGAACGCUGGCGGCGUGCCUAAUACAUGCAAGUUGAGCGCUGAAGGUUGGUACUUGUACCAACUGGAUGAGCAGCGAACGGGUGAGUAACGCGUGGGGAAUCUGCCUUUGAGCGGGGGACAACAUUUGGAAACGAAUGCUAAUACCGCAUAAAAACUUUAAACACAAGUUUUAAGUUUGAAAGAUGCAAUUGCAUCACUCAAAGAUGAUCCCGCGUUGUAUUAGCUAGUUGGUGAGGUAAAGGCUCACCAAGGCGAUGAUACAUAGCCGACCUGAGAGGGUGAUCGGCCACAUUGGGACUGAGACACGGCCCAAACUCCUACGGGAGGCAGCAGUAGGGAAUCUUCGGCAAUGGGCGAAAGUCUGACCGAGCGACGCCGCGUGAGUGAAGAAGGUUUUCGGAUCGUAAAACUCUGUUGGUAGAGAAGAACGUUGGUGAGAGUGGAAAGCUCAUCAAGUGACGGUAACGACCCAGAAAGGGACGGCUAACUACGU